Small nucleolar RNA from Meriones unguiculatus (Mongolian gerbil), 130 nucleotides. NCBI's taxonomy places the organism in Eukaryota, Metazoa, Chordata, Mammalia, Rodentia, Muridae. The record is from Ensembl.
UAUCAUGUUUUCAAAGGCUAUGGCUGGGUGUAGCUAAGGGAUCCCCAACUGCAUUCUGGAGUAACUGGAGAGACUUUGACAGUCCAGGUCAAUACAGUGCCUGCAGCUGCCAUUCAGUUUUACUAGACGU